Long non-coding RNA from Gavialis gangeticus (Gharial), 120 nucleotides. RefSeq lists it as uncharacterized. Lineage: Eukaryota; Metazoa; Chordata; Crocodylia; Gavialidae. The record is from RefSeq and is a predicted model, not a curated record. The transcript is spliced from 4 exons.
UGGUGCAGUCAAGAUGUUUAUGAAAGCAAUGGAAAUAUAUCUGUCUCCAUAUAUAAACUCAAAAAUGUAGGUGUGGUGCAGUCAAGAAAUUUAUGAAAGCGAUAAAUUUAUUAUAUAUAA